UACGAAGGGUGCAAGCGUUAAUCGGAAUUACUGGGCGUAAAGCGCGCGUAGGUGGUUCGGUAAGUUGGAAGUGAAAUCCCCGGGCUCAACCUGGGAACUGCUUUCAAAACUGCUGAGCUAGAGUACGGUAGAGGGUGGUGGAAUUUCCUGUGUAGCGGUGAAAUGCGUAGAUAUAGGAAGGAACACCAGUGGCGAAGGCGACCACCUGGACAGAUACUGACACUGAGGUGCGAAAGCGUGGGGAGCAAACAGG
This 253-nucleotide ribosomal RNA is filed under the name uncultured bacterium. RNAcentral's name for it is "partial 16S ribosomal RNA". It matches the Rfam family "Bacterial small subunit ribosomal RNA", at positions 524 to 776 of the family's 1533-position model. The record is from RNAcentral.